RNAcentral lists this ribosomal RNA (218 nucleotides) under Septoglomus sp. RNAcentral describes it as "partial small subunit ribosomal RNA". The stretch from base 27 to 218 matches the Rfam family "Eukaryotic small subunit ribosomal RNA", at positions 673 to 866 of the family's 1831-position model. The record is from RNAcentral. Lineage: Eukaryota; Fungi; Glomeromycota; Glomeromycetes; Glomerales; Glomeraceae.
GGAUCAAGGAAUCGGUCAUGCCUCGGUAUGUACUGGUUUUAUUGGUUUCUCACCUUCUAAAGAACCGUAAUGCCAUUAAUUUGGUGUCACGGGGAAUUAGGACUGUUACCUUGAAAAAAUUAGAGUGUUUAAAGCAGGCUCACGCUUGAAUACAUUAGCAUGGAAUAAUGAAAUAGGACAUCCGAUUCUAUUUUGUUGGUUUCUAGGAUCGAUGUAAU